CGGCGAGUGAAGAGGGAUUAGCCCAGCACCGAAACCUGUGGUCGAUUGACUACUAGGUAAUGUGGUGUUUAGGCGGAUUCUUGGUGUCACUGCUCCAUUCUAAGUCCAAUAAUGAGUACGGCAAUUGGACCGGCCCACAGAGGGUGAAAGGCCCGUGUGAGUGGAGUCAGUGGUGCCCUGAGUUUGUCUUGGAGUCGGGUUGUUUGUGAAUGCAGCCCAAAGUAGGUGGUAAACUCCAUCUAAGGCUAAAUACUGGCACGAGUCCGAUAGCGAACAAGUACCGUGAGGGAAAGUUGAAAAGUACUUUGAAGAGAGAGUAAACAGUGCGUGAAACCGCUCAAAGGUAAACGGGUGGAGUUGAACUGGAGGCCUGGAGGAUUCAGCUGAUGAGUAUGGUUUGUGCUUGGACAUUGUGGUCGGUUCCUGGGGUCCAAUGUAAUUGGGGGUCCUUACUUUCAAGUAGGGAUGCAUGGUGCACUUAUCAUGUGCCAUGCGCCUUGGGUGUCCGGGCCAACUUGUCAGUGCAUUUUCUCUGGGUAGUCACCACGACCGGCAUUGCUGCUUGUCUGUUGUAGCUGAACCGUUCAGGUUUGGUCAUUUGGCUAGGCUUGGAUGGUAUGGCAGGUAGCCUGUUGAUCCGCAAGGGUUGAUCGGUGUAAUUAGUUGGUUAUGAUGGAUCAGUGCGCGAUGCCGGAGUUGGCGGCCAAUGUUUGCGUGCGUGCUUUGUUCGGCAGGCAUGACCGGGUUCGGUAGGCAUGUUACCUGUACUAAUGGGUCUGUCUAUGGCUUGGUUUUGUUAUGCUGGCGGUUGCGUGCGUGGCAUGUAAUUAUGGGCCUAUAGUCUGUGGUGUAGUUGUAGAUUUUCCACCCGACCCGUCUUGAAACACGGACCAAGGAGUUUAACAUGUACGCGAGUCAUUGGGCUUUACGAAACCCAUAGGCGUAGUGAAAAUGAAGGCUUGGCUUGUCCGAGCUAAGGCGAGAUCCUGCUGUUUCCUCUGUCUUGGACUACCAAGCAUUCGAGCAGUGGGCGCACCGUCAGCCCGUCCCAUGACGUAGCCAUAUAGUCUUGUACUGUGUGCACCGUCGGGGCGGAGCCAGAGCGUGUAUGUUGAGACCCGAAAGAUGGUGAACUAUGCUUGCUAAAGUUGAAGCCAGAGGAAACUCUGGUGGAGGACUGUAGCGAUUCUGACGUGCAAAUCGAUCGUCUGACGUGAGUAUAGGGGCGAAAGACUAAUCGAACCAUCUAGUAGCUGGUUCCCUCCGAAGUUUCCCUCAGGAUAGCUGGCAUUUGUACGGUAAAACAGUUUUACCCGGUAAAGCGAAUGAUUAGAGGUGUUGGGGAUAAAACAUCCUCGCCCUAUUAUCAAACUCUAAAUGGGUGAGAAGCUUGGCUCGCUUAAUUGGAGUCAGGCGUUGAAUGUGAGUGCCAAGUGGGCCAUUUUUGGUAAGCAGAACUGGCGCUGUGGGAUGAACCAAACGCUUGAUUAAGGUGCCUAACGUGACGCUCAUGAGAUACCACAAAAGGUGUUGGUUGGUAUAGACAGCAGGACGGUGGCCAUGGAAGUCGGAAACCGCUAAGGAG
This 1585-nucleotide ribosomal RNA is filed under the name Sanguinicola cf. volgensis MBW-2023. RNAcentral's name for it is "partial large subunit ribosomal RNA". It matches the Rfam family "Eukaryotic large subunit ribosomal RNA", at positions 87 to 1278 of the family's 3401-position model. The record is from RNAcentral. Lineage: Eukaryota; Metazoa; Platyhelminthes; Trematoda; Strigeidida; Aporocotylidae.